AGAGUUUGAUUCUGGCUCAGAACGAACGCUGGCAGCGUGGAUUAGGCAUGCAAGUCGCACGGGAACCUGUGAAUUCAAGUUUUCGGACGAGAAUUCAUGGGGGAGAGUGGCGAAAGGGUGAGUAACGCGUGGGCAAUCUGCCCUCAAGUCUGGGAUAACUCCGCGAAAGCUGGGCUAAUACCGGAUGUGGUUAUCCGUCACAUGACGGGUGGAUCAAAGUUGGGGACCCUUCGGGGCCUAACGCUUGGGGAGGGGCCCGCGUCCCAUCAGCUUGUUGGCGAGGUAACGGCUCACCAAGGCAUACGGGUAGCUGGUCUGAGAGGAUGGUCAGCCACACUGGGACUGAGACACUGCCCAGACUCCUACGGGAGGCUGCAGUCGAGGAUCAUUGGCAAUGCGCGAAAGCGUGACCAUGCGACGCUGCGUGGAGGAUGACGGCCUUCGGGUUGUAAACUCCUGUCAUUCGGGAAAAAUCGUCCGGGCCCUAAUACGGUUCGGACCUGAUGGUACCGGAAGAGGAGGCCACGGCUAACUCUGUGCCAGCAGCCGCGGUAAUACAGAGGUGGCGAGCGUUGUUCGGAUUUACUGGGCGUAAAGGGUGCGUAGGUGGUUCCGUGUGUCGAAUGUGGAAGCCCACUGCCUAACAGUGGAACUGCAUUUGAAACUGCGGUGCUAGAGUACAGGAAGGGAGAGCGGAAUUCUUGGUGUAGCGGUGAAAUGCGUUGAGAUCAAGAAGAACACCGGUGGCGAAGGCGGCUCUCUGGAAUGGUACUGACGCUGAGGCACGAAAGCUGGGGGAGCGAACAGGAUUAGAUACCCUGGUAGUCCCAGCCGUAAACGGUGCGCACUUGGUGUGGGGAGUAUUGACCCUCUCCGUGCCGGAGCUAACGCGUUAAGUGCGCCGCCUGGGGAGUACGGCCGCAAGGCUAAAACUCAAAGAAAUUGAUGGGGGCCCGCACAAGCGGAGGAGCAUGUGGCUUAAUUCGAUGCAACGCGAAGAACCUUACCAGGGCUUGACAUGCAGCUGCAAGCCCGGUGAAAGCCGGGCCGCCUUCGAGGGUGCUGCACAGGUGCUGCAUGGCUGUCGUCAGUUCGUGCCGUGAGGUGUUGGGUUAAGUCCCGCAACGAACGCAACCCUUGUGUCUAUUUGCCACUCCUGUUCUGCAGGAAGCACUCUAGACAGACUGCCCGUACAAGCGGGAGGAAGGUGGGGAUGACGUCAAGUCAGUAUGGCCCUUACGCCCUGGGCUGCACACGUGCUACAAUGGCCGGUACAGAAGGAGGCAAAACCGCGAGGUGGAGCCAAUCCUGAAACCUGGCCUCAGUUCGGAUUGGAGUCUGCAACUCGACUCCAUGAAGUUGGAUUCGCUAGUAACGGCGCAUCAGCUACGGCGCCGUGAAUACGUUCCCGGGCCUUGUACACACCGCCCGUCACAUCAUGAAAGCCGUCUGCACCCGAAGUCACUGGGCCAACUCGCAAGAGGGGCAGGUGCCGAAGGUGUGGGUGGUGAUUGGGAUGAAGUCGUAACAAGGUA
This 1535-nucleotide ribosomal RNA is filed under the name metagenome. Its description in RNAcentral is "bacterial SSU rRNA". It matches the Rfam family "Bacterial small subunit ribosomal RNA". The record is from RNAcentral.